Phalacrocorax carbo (great cormorant) is the source of this 4489-nucleotide non-coding RNA. Lineage: Eukaryota; Metazoa; Chordata; Aves; Suliformes; Phalacrocoracidae. The record is from RefSeq and is a predicted model, not a curated record.
AGUUCCAAACCCCAGACCAGGGGGAGGACUCACCCAGAUUUUGGCAAGCUUUGGACUCUAGACUCUUGGAACAAGUUUCAAAUUCCAGCAGCCUUCUGUUUAUCGAAGGAAGAUAAACUAAGCGGCCUGCUGAAUAGUGCGUGGGUUUUCAGACGCGAUCUGGGAAACAGCAGGUCUUUGGGACAUUAAACAUGCUGUGACACUUUCCAUGAGAACAAAGAUAAAACGGGACCUUUUCGCAUCCUUCCCCACCACUGUGGCCAGGCAGGGGCCGCCUGGUUCCUGUCUUUCACCCAGGACCUCGCUGCAAGUGCAAAGCCCCCAGGAGUGCACAGGCAGAGCCGGAGGAGGGGGUGGCUGGGAGGCGUUUGCUGCACCGCUCUUCCACGUUCUGUAAUAUUUUGGAAAGUUUUCAACCUUACCUGGAUUAAAAUGUGCUUCACGUUGAAAGAUUUUCCUUGCCAAAAAUGAACUGUUAACGUAGUUGCGAGAGGCUUUAUUUGUGCUGUGUAACGCCGCCAGGUAACAGAGCUCUGAACAAGGCACUCUGUGCAUUUAAGCCACCGCUCAAGAGACUGGGGAUCUCGGCAUCGCAGCAAAUCUCCUCCGCAAGUCCGGGGGGCAGCGUCUCUAUAACAACUCCCCACCAUCGAUGGGACCGGCAGCGGGUAUCUAAGUUGGCUGCUGACAUUUUGACGUCUGGGUCAACAACAGGUAAUGCUUUCCUCUCUGUGGUGCGGAACCACAUCGUGUGCUGUACACACCAGGAGUGCACAGAGAGGCGGUAACACGGCUCAUACUCUGCUGACCUGGCCAUCGGCACCGUAACUACUCGAAAAACACGCUUUUGUGCUGUGUAAAUUCAUUUUCAGCACUGACAUAUCACAAACUAGGUAUCACCCAAACGACAUGCCUGACUUCAUUUGGCUCUUUGGAGCAACGGUCUAACAAAAAUGGAAAUACAAGGAUUUGGUUUACGUUCAUGUUUUACACAUUCACGACGGGCUUCCUCUUGUCACUGCUAGCACAGAUUUUUCCCACACAAGUUUCAGCUGCUGACACCGGAUAAACCAUCCAUUGCACUGCUCCACCUAGCAGUUUGACAAGCAGCACAGUAUAACUCAUCUGUAAGAACCUUAAUCCCUCCAGGGUUGCAGGACUAUGCAUGUCGCUCCCGUGGAGCUGCUGUAACCACGAUACCCAAGGAGUACAUUCUCUCACCCGGAGGGCCUGACCAGGCAAAGACAGUGGCCUCGGGAAGGGGGUUGUUUCGGUUUGCUCCCUAUGCAAACAAGAAUAAUACCUUUGCACUCUCUUACGCUUUCCAAGCCACAAAAAUAAUCAAAAACUGUAAUGCCAUGGAAUUUAAUGGGUAAGAUAAAUGCUUUUACAGUUUGGAGGAUGGCUAGGUGCCACGGUACGGUUGAUUAAUGGCCUUCCUGUGCAGUAUGUUCUUAAAGAGUGUUCUUUGAUUGAACCCUUAUAUACAAUUAGCUGUGGCAAACUAAAAACCCUGCUACCCUCCUUCCUCUGCCCUCUUCUUCCGCCUCCCUGAUACAGCCGGCUGCCAGUACAGGAUAUUCGAUAACAGCAUGCUGAGAGGAACGUUUCCAGAUCUGGUCACUAACAUUUGCAUCUACAACCUUUGGCACCCUAUAGUCAAGGGGAUAUAGCUUCCCCAACAGCUCUAGAUAUUAAGCCAAUGCCAUCACAGGCUGGAGAAACCGUAGUCCCUGUGGUUCCCUCAGUUCCCCCUCGGUAGCCACAGCCCAAACCUGGCUGACUCCAAGGCGAGAAGAUGAUGUACUCACUCACCACUUGGGAGCGGAGGCUCCUUUCCGCAGGUGCAGGCAAGCUCUGUUGGUUACUGCAACACAGGGCUUAAGCAGAACAUCAAAAGGCUCUGAUGAAUUCCUCAAAAUACAUGGCUGUGCAGUGUCAUAUACGGAACCUGGGUUAGAAAAAAGAGGGUGUACAAUUGUUAUUCCGUGGCACCCUCACUUUUUACACGGACGUUGGCAAUUCCUGGAACUUAAGACCAUCAUAUGGCAUCAGACCAAAAAAAAUGCAUUUAAAACCCAGAAUGACACCCAGAACUAGGUGCAGGUAUGUCUUGCAACCUAUUCUGCCUAAUCGAGUAUAUCAUCUUCCAGAAUCUUUGGAACUCUGGCAGAAAUAUCCUCUCUGUCUUGAAAUAAAUUAAGUAUGGGCAGAUCAAUGCUUAAUAUUAGUAGAACCAGAGGAUGAUUCAACUCCUUUUAAUGAUUACCAGCCCCCACAUUUGAAACCUCUUGCCUUGCCACUGUUUAUCUGGGGUAGUCCUGGUCCGUCAUUGAAACCCCUGGUCUGAGCACACGCGGUGAGCUUUCUGGACACAUUUUGAUGCGUGUGUUUUACAAAGAUCAGUACUCCAGCUAGCCAGAAUUUUCCAGUGCAACAAUUUUUCACUAGAAGACACAGAUUCACCAAAACAAAUGUUCUAUGGAAAUGUGGUUCUGUAGCUAUAAAAAGGCAGGAGCUUUAAAAAAAACCUCGUCUGCUAAAUGACUUUCUUUUGGCAGCCUUCUAGGCUUCCUGCUAGCAGGCUUUUCUGGUGGAAAAAGGAAAAUUUCAAAACGUCUAAAUUUCUUUUCACAUCAGAAGAAAAACUUAAUUACACGUUGGAAUUUUUCACACCAUGGGAAUAAUAAAUUUGAAUUAGUUGUCCUUGGAAGCGAGCCUUCGCACAGCCAUUCCAGUCUCUCUUCCACAUCCACCGGACUGUGGACCAGAGGCUCGGGCUGUUUCAAUCCAUACAGGAAUCCGACAUCGAACACAGCCCGUAUUGUUGCUCUAGUCUGAGGAGACCUAACCAUUUCCGUGGCUCUACAGCUUGUCAUGGCAUUAUGUUUCUGCUCUCCCUGCUGCAUGAUGAGUGUGGCUCUUCUGAAGAGCCAGUGUUAGCAGUUUACCCUGCUCAUCAUCACCUCACCCUCGCCUGUACCAACCCCUGGGGAAGAGCACAGGCUAAGGAAGGCUGGACUGGGUUCAAAGCCUGUGGGCAGCGCAGGUCAUCUUUAUCCUAUUUCCCAAACCAGUACGUAAUACCACGUAAAAAGACGAUGGGGAGCCACCACCGAUUCUCCACGCCACAGAAAACCAGUCACUUGGCGAGAACUGGCUGUACCUCAGACAAAACUGGCACUCACUGACUGCUGGGGCUUUCAGGGAGAGCUCCUCACCCCCCUCCCAGGGUAUGCUGUGCCUCCGGACAUGUUUUCCCUACGGCUCAACUGUGAAAUGCACAGCUUCACAGCUAGGACUACUUUCAAUCCUGUUUUUACUGCCUAAUUGUUGUAUUUGUUGUGUUCACAGGCCGGGGAAAGAGUUUGUUUGCUUUAAACUUUAAUAUACUCCUUUAAAUAAAAUAUGCCCAUUGAUAACAUCUACAGCAAACAUUUACAGAGUUAACACACACAGAAACCACUGUCAUUCCACCCAGAGAGAAGGUUAACAAGCAUCAGAGAUUUCUGUUUUCCUUGGAGAGGUACCAGAUUAGUUCCAGGGGCACUUAUGCAACACAACCUUACAGCCAAAUCUCGUUGUUUGGGUUCUUUUUCCUUUUUUUUUUUUUUCCCCCCCCUCCACUCUGUGCAUGUACAAGGUGGGUUGUUUUUUUUUUUUUUUCCACCCAGUUGUUUGCUUUUUUUUCCCCUCCCUCUCUGAGUUAAGCAUGUGUGGACAGAGCCCUCAACCACAGCCAGCUACAUCAGACACUAUCUGCUCCGCGUAGCAGGUAUUUUGGUUUUCCUGCUGUAAAACCACCCGGCUGCUGUACAAGGUGCGGGGGCUCGGCCGGGGACCUGCAAAGCACACGGGACCGCAGUCUCUCGCACGUGCGUGCGUGCACACAGGCGUGCCUUCAGGGAGCGGCAUCCUUCACUGCUCUUGCGGGAGGAAUGCAUGCCUGCAUAAAGGCUUGAAGCCUCAUCUUACCUGCUCAAGACAUGACAUUUAAAACAGUGAAGAGACAUGGAAUGGUAUUAUCUACCCUUUAAUUGCUAUAAAGAGUAAUGCUACUUUUAUGAAUGGAUGAGUGGUGACCGAAACCAUUUUCUUCAUUGAUAAAUCUCUGAUUCAAGCCUGAGUAAUAUAUUACUAAUUAAGGUGUUUUGCUUGUUCGUUUUUAAAGCCAGUUCUCUGACAUUUGUGUAUUCAGCCUUGGGUGGUUUGUUUUGUUUUAUUUUGUUGUUGUUCUUGGGUUUUGGGUGGUUUUUGAGGUGGUUUUUUUUUUGUUUUUGUUUGGGUUUUUUGGUGGCCAGAAGUUGCCCUCACUGAGUUACCAGUCAAAUACCAUCACCUUCCUACCACAGCAGGGUAGGUGGAAAGCUCAGGGACUCGAACAGGACUGACUAAAUUAUUUUCUUUCCUCUAACAGGUCUGCAAGGCAAGUAGGUUAGAAAAGGAAAAGCCAGUUGUUCUUAUUCUUGUGAGUAAAGGUAUUUCAAUU